CUAAAUAGAGUCUAAGCCAGGUCAGCUCGCCGGCCAACGUGUCACUUUGGUCAGGCCAAAACCGUGGGGCGACUGUAUAGCAAGUGGUUUAUAAAAAUUUAGAUCGGAGGGGUUAUUAUUAAAAUUUAGUUUUAAAGGGUUAAAAUUUAAAAAAUCCUUGCUUGGUUACUCUUCCUGCUCUCAUGGUCGUCUCCCCCUCUCGUAACACGACAGCGACGAGGGAAGCUUCUUCCUUAGCGACUAACCAAUAGCCAAAUCCUCCUUUAAAAUCUGAUGCUCGGCCGGGUCCAUUUCGCUGGCUAGCUUUCCUUCAGCUCCCGUCCCGACCCCCCUGGCUACAGCCCGUCCCGUCGAGCCACAGCGACGAACAAAUGGCCCGCGCCGGCGCAGCCGUCGUCCUCGCCCUCGCCGUCUGCUGCCUCCUGGUGGCCCCCGCCCCGGCGCGCCGCCCCGCCGACCGCGAGGCGGCCGCCGAGCCGCUGCGGCCCAAGCCGGCGGUGGCCGCGGACUGCGCCGAUGCGGCCGAAGCUGAACAGGGGUCCGCGCUCGCCGUGCCCGAGCAGGAGGACCCCGCCCGCGACGAGGAGCCCCGGCGGCGGUCCUCCUCCCUGCUCUGCCUCGUCUUUCGGUGCGGCGGCGAGCCGGCGGGCCUGAACGGCGCGUUGGUGGCCCGGGGCAGCUCCGAGGAGCCGCAGGUGCUGGACGAUGGGACCUGGCGGGCGGUGGAGGGGAAGGCGGAGGCGGAGGACGAGGACGAGCGGCCGUACGAGACGGACUGGGACUCUGACUGCGACUCCGACGACGAGGGCGAAGAAGACGGCGUCUUGGGGUGGCUCUGGAGGCUGGCUGAUCGCUUCUGGUUUCUCAUCGAUCCCAGCCAGCCAUGAGCCAUGGCCGCCGAUAGACGUGCUCCGGCAGCUUGAUCCUUGUCUGGCGCGUGUACUGUAUAACCUAUUACGAGCAGAUCAUAGCAGCAAACACCACUCUUUGUACAAAAGGUUAUAUUGAUGGAAUAAAUACUACACCUGUGUUUUUGUAAUUGUAUGGAUGGAUCAAACAAAGUUUCAAACCGUUGCUGUCACAUGAUUAAAUUCAACAGAAAGAGGUUUAACCGUGUAAGAACGAACCUGGUAGAAAUUGUUAGCACGAAAAGAUUUGUAGCUUAUUCAAGCCUACUAACGUACAGGGUCAUACAACAUGCUUCCCAGCACAAACACGCCUGAAACAUCAAAUUACAGGCAUAAUCCGGAAUGCGAAGAAAAAAAAUGUGUGACAAUCAAGUUCAUAGAUUCUGCUGCUCAUCCUACAAUAGCCAGUGAUAUUAGGAAGACAACAUAUAUGGUUUGUAAGAAAAGAUAUCUGCCAAUACAGACUGAAACCGCAGAAAUCUGGACAGGCAAUUCUACUUCUCCUCCUCGAAGUCAUACUUGUAGCCAUCGGAAUCAUCAUCGGAGGAGGUGAGGAACUCAGAUUCAGAUUCAUCAGAGCCGAUUUCGAUAUCGUAGUCGUCUUUUGUAUGAGCAAGGCUGAAACCACUCAUCUCGUUCCUCCCGUCAUCCUCGUUGAUGAACUCCAGACCGUAUACUGCAUCUCUAUGCUUCACAACCAGCCAGCGAAGCAGCCUGUCCUCCUUGUUCAGAUAGUGGAGUUCUUGCGUGAAGGUAGGUGGAACCAUCAUGGUCAUUUGCAUAAGCUGGCCCUG
This 1702-nucleotide long non-coding RNA is filed under the name Setaria viridis. Its description in RNAcentral is "long non-coding RNA (SVIR_LNC005129)". The record is from RNAcentral. Lineage: Eukaryota; Viridiplantae; Streptophyta; Magnoliopsida; Poales; Poaceae.